This is an RNA transcript of Octodon degus (degu), 707 nucleotides long. It is a transcript of the gene named structural maintenance of chromosomes protein 2 pseudogene, with no coding region annotated. The record is from RefSeq and is a predicted model, not a curated record. The transcript has a single exon. NCBI's taxonomy places the organism in Eukaryota, Metazoa, Chordata, Mammalia, Rodentia, Octodontidae.
GAUGAAGGAGAAACUGGGAAGGAAUGUCAACAUGCGAGCUAUGAGUGUGCUGACAGAAGCUGAAGAGCGGUAUAAUGACUUGAUGAAGAAGAAGAGAAUUGUAGAAAAUGAUAAAUCUAAAAUCCUUGCAACUAUAGAAGACCUUGACCAGAAGAAAAACCAAGCCCUAAAUAUUGCCUGGCAAAAGGUGAACAAAGAUUUUGGGUCUAUUUUUUCUACUCUUUUGCCUGGUGCCAACGCGAUGCUUGCACCACCAGAGGGGCAAACUGUUUUGGAUGGUCUGGAGUUCAAGGUUGCCUUGGGGAAUACGUGGAAAGAAAACCUAACUGAGCUUAGUGGUGGUCAGAGGUCCCUAGUGGCUUUAUCGUUGAUAUUGUCCAUGCUCCUCUUUAAACCUGCUCCAAUCUAUAUCUUGGAUGAAGUAGAUGCAGCUUUGGAUCUCUCUCAUACCCAAAAUAUUGGACAGAUGUUAUGAACUCAUUUCACACAUUCGCAGUUCAUUGUGGUAUCCUUAAAAGAAGGUAUGUUCAACAACGCAAAUGUUCUUUUCAAAACCAAGUUUGUGGAUGGAGUUUCUACAGUGUCCAGAUUUACUCAGAGUCAGAACGGAAGGGUUCCAAAGGAAACAAAUUCCAAGGCAAAAGGACCCAAAUGAGCACAUGCUAGAAGUUUAAAGUUCAAACUUAUUCCUAAACGUUGACCUUUUU